CAUAGGAAGUAGAAGAGGAGAACAAAAAACAAAAAUGAUGAAGAAAACAAAUUAAAGAAAUGUGCACAGAAUUCUAUAUUUGCCUGGACAAAAAAAGGGAACUGGACAACAACAAUGAUUCUGCUGGAACCUCUGAGAAAAAAUAAGACUGUGUCGAAAAGCAACUUGGUAUCAGGAGCCACAAAGUAGCUUUUGCUGAAGGACGGUGUCAGGGUCCCCAAAUAAAUAUAUUCUUUUCUCUUCCUAUGCUUUACUUGCCUUUGUAACCCUUCUUUGGGGCCUGCCAUUCUGUUGGGAGGGGGGAUGCUCUGAGAUGCCUUACACUGUCUUGCUGUUGUACCCUUCCGCAAGGAGAAGCAAUGCAUCUCCCUUAUCUGGGUGACAGUUGGUGCUUAGAGCCAGAAGGAAAAGAAAGCGAGAGAGACCUUAAAGAAUGCGCCAACGGAGCCAGUUACCAAAACAAUAUGCCACCUGUGGAUUGGUUAGAACUCAAAUGGACACUGGGACUCUGGGGGAGAGGAGUAAUAAAGAUUGUUUUUAAUAUAUUAUUUGCAUGG
Crotalus tigris (Tiger rattlesnake) is the source of this 557-nucleotide long non-coding RNA. RefSeq lists it as uncharacterized. The record is from RefSeq and is a predicted model, not a curated record. Lineage: Eukaryota; Metazoa; Chordata; Lepidosauria; Squamata; Viperidae. The transcript has 3 exons.